This is a long non-coding RNA of Oncorhynchus keta (chum salmon), 3768 nucleotides long. RefSeq lists it as uncharacterized. The transcript has 7 exons. Lineage: Eukaryota; Metazoa; Chordata; Actinopteri; Salmoniformes; Salmonidae. The record is from RefSeq and is a predicted model, not a curated record.
UGCAUUUCUGCAUUUGUAUGAGUGCGUGCAUGACAGAUCAGGUCAGCGGUUCUCCCUAACUAACUGCAGUGCUCUGUUCUGCCCUCUAUAUCAGGACUGCCCAACACUCUUCCUGGAGAUCUACUGUCCUGUAGGUUUGGACUGAUAACCUAAAGGACAGUAGAUCUCCAGGAAGGGGGUUUGACUGAAAACCUACAGGACAGUAGAUCUCCGGGAAUAGGGAUGGACUGAUAACCUACAGGACAGUAGAUCUCCAGGAAGGGGGUUGGACUGAUAACCUACAGGACAGUAGAUCUCCAGGAAGAGGGAUGGACUGAUAACCUACAGGACAGUAGAUCUCCAUGAAGAGGGUUGGACUGAUAACCUAAAGGACAGUAGAUCUCCAGGAAGGGGGUUUGACUGAAAACCUACAGGACAGUAGAUCUCCGGGAAUAGGGAUGGACUGAUAACCUACAGGACAGUAGAUCUUCAGGAAGAGGGAUGGACUGAUAACCUACAGGACAGUAGAUCUCCAGGAAGAGGGAUGGACUGAUAACCCACAGGACCAUAGAUCUCCAGGAAGAGGGUUGGACUGAUAACCUACAGGACAGUAGAUCUCCAGGAAGAGGGACUGAUAACCCACAGGACCAUAGAUCUCCAGGAAGAGGGAUGGACUGAAAACCCACAGGAAAAUAGAUCUCCAGGAAGAGGGUUGGACUGAAAACCUAAAGGACAGUAGAUCUCCAGGAAGAAGGAUGGACUGAUAAUCUACAGGACAGUAGAUCUCCAGGAAGAGGGGUGGACUGAUAACCUAAAGGACAGUAGAUCUCCAGGAAGAGGGUUGGACUGAUAACCUAAAGGACAAUAGAUCUCCAGGAAGAGGGAUGGACUGAUAACCUAAAGGACAGUAGAUCUCCAGGAAGAGGGUUGGACUGAUAACCUACAGGACAGUAGAUCUCCAGGAAGAGGGUUGGACUAAUAACCUACAGGACAAUAGAUCUCCAGGAAGAGGGAUGGACUGAUAACCUACAGGACAGUAGAUCUCCAGGACGAGGAUUGGACUGAUAACCUACAGGACAAUAGAUCUCCAGGAAGAGGGAUGGACUGAUAACCUACAGGACAGUAGAUCUCCAGGACGAGGAUUGGACUGAUAACCUACAGGACAAUAGAUCUCCAGGAAGAGGGAUGGACUGAUAACCUAAAGGACAGUAGAUCUCCAGGAAGAGGGCAGCGCUGGUCUACAGCAUGUUUCCCCUCCUCACCUCCACCGCAGGCACGAUGAUGUACUCUGUUCUGUCUGGCAGCCAUGCUGGAUAUAAUUAGCCCUUUUAAACAUCAUCUGGUUUGGCUGAAACUUAAGAAGAAGUCUCUAAGUGGUAUUCUAACGUGUUGAGUAAAGCUUGAAAUGCUCUUCAGCUGUUUCAUUAAUUAAUUCAGCCCUGGAGUGCUUCCUUGUGCUGCAUUACCAGAGAUAAGGUUGACUUUUCCUCCGCUGAAAUAAAUCAAGGGAAGGUCACUGUAAUACUGUGGAAGCAGAAGAAAGGCAUCAAACUGUGUGAGUCGGUGGGAUUCUGACUCUGAUUCUGACUAAAUUUGAGUUUUGGAUGAACUCAAAUGAGUAUAUGCCUCUGUCUCCUAUAGGUUGAGUUGUGUAGGAGGACAGUAUAUUUCUCUGUCUCCUAUAGGUUGAGUUGUGUAGGACAGUAUACUUCUCUGUCUCCUAUAGGUUGAGUUGUGUAGGUUCUCUGUCUGCUAUAGGUUGAGUUGUGUAGGAGGACAGUAUACUUCUCUGUCUCCUAUAGGUUGAGUUGUGUAGGUUCUCUGUCUGCUAUAGGUUGAGUUGUGUAGGAGGACAGUAUACUUCUCUGUCUCCUAUAGGUUGAGUUGUGUAGGACAGUAUAUUUCUCUGUCUGCUAUAGGUUGAGUUGUGUAGGACAGUAUAUUUCUCUGUCUGCUAUAGGUUGAGUUGUGUAGGACAGUAUAUUUCUCUGUCUGCUAUAGGUUGAGUUGUGUAGGACAGUAUAUUUCUCUGUCUGCUAUAGGUUGAGUUGUGUAGGACAGUAUAUUUCUCUGUCUGCUAUAGGUUGAGUUGUGUAGGUUCUCUGUCUCCUAUAGGUUGAGUUGUGUAGGACAGUAUAUUUCUCUGUCUGCUAUAGGUUGAGUUGUGUAGGUUCUCUGUCUGCUAUAGGUUGAGUUGUGUAGGAGGACAGUAUAUUUCUCUGUCUCCUAUAGGUUGAGUUGUGUAGGAGGACAGUAUACUUCUCUGUCUCCUAUAGGUUGAGUUGUGUAGGAGGACAGUAUACUUCUCUGUCUCCUAUAGGUUGAGUUGUGUAGGACAGUAUAUUACUCUGUCUGCUAUAGGUUGAGUUGUGUAGGAGGACAGUAUAUUUCUCUGUCUGCUAUAGGUUGAGUUGUGUAGGAGGACAGUAUAUUACUCUGUCUGCUAUAGGUUGAGUUGUGUAGGAGGACAGUAUAUUACUCUGUCUGCUAUAGGUUGAGUUGUGUAGGACAGUAUAUUACUCUGUCUGCUAUAGGUUGAGUUGUGUAGGACAGUAUAUUACUCUGUCUGCUAUAGGUUGAGUUGUGUAGGACAGUAUAUUACUCUGUCUGCUAUAGGUUGAGUUGUGUAGGAGGACAGUAUAUUUCUCUGUCUGCUAUAGGUUGAGUUGUGUAGGAGGACAGUAUAUUUCUCUGUCUCCUAUAGGUUGAGUUGUGUAGGAGGACAGUAUAUUUCUCUGUCUCCUAUAGGUUGAGUUGUGUAGGAGGACAGUAUACUUCUCUGUCUCCUAUAGGUUGAGUUGUGUAGGAGGACAGUAUAUUUCUCUGUCUCCUAUAGGUUGAGUUGUGUAGGACAGUAUACUUCUCUGUCUCCUAUAGGUUGAGUUGUGUAGGUUCUCUGUCUGCUAUAGGUUGAGUUGUGUAGGAGGACAGUAUACUUCUCUGUCUCCUAUAGGUUGAGUUGUGUAGGUUCUCUGUCUGCUAUAGGUUGAGUUGUGUAGGAGGACAGUAUACUUCUCUGUCUCCUAUAGGUUGAGUUGUGUAGGACAGUAUAUUUCUCUGUCUGCUAUAGGUUGAGUUGUGUAGGACAGUAUAUUUCUCUGUCUGCUAUAGGUUGAGUUGUGUAGGACAGUAUAUUUCUCUGUCUGCUAUAGGUUGAGUUGUGUAGGACAGUAUAUUUCUCUGUCUGCUAUAGGUUGAGUUGUGUAGGUUCUCUGUCUCCUAUAGGUUGAGUUGUGUAGGAGGACAGUAUAUUUCUCUGUCUCCUAUAGGUUGAGUUGUGUAGGAGGACAGUAUAUUUCUCUGUCUCCUAUAGGUUGAGUUGUGUAGGAGGACAGUAUAUUUCUCUGUCUGCUAUAGGUUGAGUUGUGUAGGAGGACAGUAUAUUUCUCUGUCUCCUAUAGGUUGAGUUGUGUAGGAGGACAGUAUAUUUCUCUGUCUGCUAUAGGUUGAGUUGUGUAGGACAGUAUAUUUCUCUGUCUGCUAUAGGUUGAGUUGUGGAGGUGGACAGUAUAUUUCUCUGUCUGCUAUAGGUUGAGUUGUGUAGGAGGACAGUAUAUUUCUCUGUCUGCUAUAGGUUGAGUUGUGUAGGUUCUCUGUCUGCUAUAGGUUGAGUUGUGUAGGAGGACAGUAUAUUUCUCUGUCUGCUAUAGGUUGAGUUGUGUAGGUUCUCUGUCUGCUAUAGGUUGAGUUGUGUAGGAAUACAGUCUUUCUCAUCAUAUAUAUGGGCUGCUUAAGGCCUCUCUGCAUAUGUAGAAUUGGAUUUAUUAUUCCCCAACUUCCCGAUUCUAC